Zootermopsis nevadensis is the source of this 2755-nucleotide non-coding RNA. The record is from RefSeq and is a predicted model, not a curated record. NCBI's taxonomy places the organism in Eukaryota, Metazoa, Arthropoda, Insecta, Blattodea, Termopsidae.
UAUAUCCUUCCACCUUUAACGUGCUCCGUAGUAUUACGAGAGGACUAAGUCCCUUCCAUGAAAAACACCCCCACAUUGUCACCCCACCUCCGUCGAAUUUCACUGUGGGCACUAUACAGGCCGGCAUGUAGCGUUCACCUAGCAUUCGCCACACCCAAACCCUCCCAUCGGACUGCCACAUGGUAUAGCGUGAUUCAUCACUCCAAAUCACGCGUCUCCAGUAGUCCACAACCCACUCUUUACACCAAUGAACGCUGCACUUAGCGUUCACAGGCAACCAAUAACCAUACCACAUUCCAAGUUACUGAGCUCCCUUGCUGCACCCAUUCUGUCGGUAUCGCGUAGAACUGAACAACAUCGAGCCCUCUGCCUCCUUUUAUAGCAGCAGUGGUGGUCGUAGUGAUAUCUAGACUCGGGUUUACGUUUACAGAGAGGUGUCCGGAUACUUUUGAUCAGGCAGUGUAUAUUAACUGGUUAUGUAGUGUUGAGUAGUAUGAUGGAUGUGAAUGAUACACUAUAAGACACACAAAAAUGAGCAGUUGUGGCCUAUUGUAACAUUUGUUCCAGCUACAUGAAGAAAUGGAAACCAUCAAGAGCUUCAGUCAGUGUAAUUUGUGUCAGGAGAUACCAAAAUAUGGAGUGCUGAUUACUUGAUCAUAAUGUCUGAUCUUCAUCACCUCUCAAGAUUGAUGCAGAUUCCAGACAGUGAUUUCAGUAUAAUUUCAUUAGCCAGGACUAGAGGUGUAACACCGACCAGUAGUUUGUAAUUUCUCAGUAGAGUUGACAGUGAUGAUUUCAACAUCAGCACUGAAUAUUUCUGGCCUACAAACAAAACAUGACAUUCUGUACAUAUCUGUAUAUUUAAUAUAAAACUUGUAUAUUGCUGCAUGUACACUGAAUGUGAAAUCAGAAAAGGGAGGUGGACUACAGGCAUGUAGUAUAUACAGCAAACUGUAUUGGGGGAUAAGUCCCAUGAAAUAUGGAGUGAAGUACUGUACAAAAUUCUCACUGAAUCUACACCCAUGAAACUAGUUAGGCGAAUCAGAAUGUGUUUAAGCACAACCUGUAAUAAGUCCACACAGGAAAACAUUGUCUGCAACAUUUCCUAUUGAGAAUGUUUUGGAACAAGGAGAUGCUAUUUCAGUUUAUCUUUGAAUAGGAAGAUAGGAAGAAAUCAAUAAAGCCUGGAAUUCACUAGGGCACAUCAGCUUCUUGGCUUUAAACAUAAAUGUCAUGAACCAAUUUUAAUAGUGCUCUUUAUAUAAUUUUCCCCUGCCUAUCUCUUUAUUCCUCUUAGAUAAAUAUAUUUUCCUCAGCACCCUGUGGGUUCUGAAAAAACAGAAAAAAAUUAGGUCAAAGUUUAAUGUCAAAGACCACAGAUGGAAAAAUAUUUAAACUAUUAGGCAGAAGAGAAAAUCUGUGUAAUGAGGAAUAAGUAAGUUUUUUGACAAACCUAUAUUGAGGUCACUGAUUUUUCUCCCAAUAAUAGGAACAGUAGGGAAAAGUCUGAGUGUUUCUUUGAUGACCUGCUCUAAGUAGUUCAUGUUCUGUAGGUCAUGUAAAGUUGGAGAGUGACCAGAGUCACCAAAUAUCUCCUUUAGUUCUGCCAUUACUCUCUCCUGGAACACAAGAAUCCAUACUAUAAGAUCCGUUUCACAUGAAGGUAGCUGAAUUAUUUUAUUGUGGUGGAAGACCUUGAUUUGUGAACACAAGAGUGACCAUUUGUACAUAUGAAUAAAGUCAGUAUCUACCAUAAUAUUUCCAUCAAUGUUAUGAAUGCUGUCAAUUCAUAAGAACAAAGCCAGACUCUUGCUUUCUCAUUUUUACCUAAUGAAACCCAUUUAUCCUCAAGGAACUCCACUCCCGAAUGAGAAAGGCUGUGGCAGAAUUGUUGGUGGAAGAACCUCUUCGAAAGUUACUAUGUUGAAGGCAGGGAUGAAGAUGGAAUACUAAUAUGAAAAUGCUUAUAACUGAAAUAGGAUUUAGUGGCAUAAAUUAGGUUGUAUUCAUGUAAAAUACAGUUAAUUAGUUGGAUAUAAUGUUAGUGGUAUUGAAAUGUUAAAUAUCUCUUCUGUGUUCUACAGUGAUAGUCAAGUCAAGGGUGAGACAUUAUAGUAAAACUACACUACCCAGGAUAACUGGAAGCUUUAUAGUGAAGUAAGGCCAGGCACAGGGUAUUGGAAAUAACCAAAAACUUUAUUAGGGACAGUGCAGCAUCGUGAGAAAGUAGUAUGUAAGUUCAGAAAUCACUAAAAUAAUUAAUAGUAAAUAUCCUCUGGUAGAAUGUACCAUACCAUAACCUUGUAAGAAUCUGGGAAAUAGAUUGAGGUGACUUAGACCUAGGUUGUUCCAGUCUGAGCUACCAAAAGAAAUAAAUAUAAGAACUCAUUUUUGACAUAGCUUAAGAACCAUGUAUGUAUGUAAUAUUACAUACAUAUAUUUUUAUUAAAUUGCAUAUGUCCAUAAGUUAUUUGGAUGUUAAUAGGAUGUGAAAUAAGUCAGAAUAAUACAAGUGCAAUUUGUACUGUUAUAAAGAUAUCACAUAGUAUAAUGGUUUACAUAAAAUACAAAUACAUCCACCCAUUACAUUCCAUUGAUAAAUUAUACUACCUAUUUAUAAUAUAUGACAAGAAAACUUUAAUGAACAUUAUGAAUUAUUUGUAAUGUAUUCUUAUCUGUAAAAAGUUGUACAGUUGCAACACCAGGAACUCAAACUUACCAUUGUUUUUAAGCCAUUAAACUCCAGUGAAGUCAC